This 72-nucleotide transfer RNA is filed under the name Phrynosoma platyrhinos (Desert horned lizard). RNAcentral's name for it is "tRNA-OTHER". The record is from RNAcentral. Lineage: Eukaryota; Metazoa; Chordata; Lepidosauria; Squamata; Phrynosomatidae.
GCCAGUGUAGUCUAGUGGUGUGAGCAUUGGACUAUGACUCUGGAGACCAGGGUUCAAAUCCCCACUUUGCCA